UACGGGGGGAGCAAGCGUUGUUCGGAUUUACUGGGCGUAAAGGGCGCGUAGGCGGCUAGGCAAGUCAGGUGUGAAAGCCCCGGGCUUAACCCGGGAAUUGCAUCUGAAACUGCUGUGCUUGAGUUCUGGAGGGGGUAGUGGAAUUCCCAGUGUAGCGGUGAAAUGCGUAGAUAUUGGGAGGAACACCUGCGGCGAAGGCGGCUACCUGGACAGAAACUGACGCUGAGGCGCGAAAGCUAGGGGAGCGAACGGG
This 253-nucleotide ribosomal RNA is filed under the name uncultured bacterium. RNAcentral's name for it is "partial 16S ribosomal RNA". It matches the Rfam family "Bacterial small subunit ribosomal RNA", at positions 524 to 776 of the family's 1533-position model. The record is from RNAcentral.